Non-coding RNA from Caenorhabditis elegans, 21 nucleotides. Lineage: Eukaryota; Metazoa; Nematoda; Chromadorea; Rhabditida; Rhabditidae. The record is from Ensembl.
UUGAUGUAAAGAAAGAAAUAG